This 405-nucleotide ribosomal RNA is filed under the name uncultured bacterium. RNAcentral describes it as "bacterial SSU rRNA". It matches the Rfam family "Bacterial small subunit ribosomal RNA", at positions 30 to 433 of the family's 1533-position model. The record is from RNAcentral.
AUUGAACGCUGGCGGCAUGCCUUACACAUGCAAGUCGAACGGCAGCACGGGAGCAAUCCUGGUGGCGAGUGGCGAACGGGUGAGUAAUAUAUCGGAACGUGCCCAGUCGUGGGGGAUAACGUAGCGAAAGCUACGCUAAUACCGCAUACGAUCUAUGGAUGAAAGCGGGGGAUCGCAAGACCUCGCGCGAUUGGAGCGGCCGAUAUCAGAUUAGGUAGUUGGUGAGGUAAAGGCUCACCAAGCCGGCGAUCUGUAGCUGGUCUGAGAGGACGACCAGCCACACUGGGACUGAGACACGGCCCAGACUCCUACGGGAGGCAGCAGUGGGGAAUUUUUGGACAAUGGGCGCAAGCCUGAUCCAGCAAUGCCGCGUGCAGGAUGAAGGCCUUCGGGUUGUAACGUAGC